GUAGUCCACGCCGUAAACGAUGGAUGUUAGCCGUUGGCAUUUGCCAGUGGCACAGUUAACACGUUAAACAUCCCGCCUGGGGAGUACGGUCGCAAGAUUAAAACUCAAAGGAAUUGACGGGGACCCGCACAAGCGGUGGAGUAUGUGGUUUAAUUCGAUGCUACGCGAAAAACCUUACCACCAUUUGACAUGUCUAUAGAGACUUACAGAAAUGUUUGUCGCACUUCGGGUGGAUAGAACACAGGUGUUGCAUGGCUGUCGUCAGCUCGUGUCGUGAGAUGUUGGGUUAAGUCCCGCAACGAGCGCAACCCUCAUCCUUAGUUGCCAGCGAGUAAUGUCGGGAACUCUAAGGAAACUGCUCGUGUCAAACGAGA
RNAcentral lists this ribosomal RNA (374 nucleotides) under uncultured bacterium. Its description in RNAcentral is "bacterial SSU rRNA". It matches the Rfam family "Bacterial small subunit ribosomal RNA", at positions 790 to 1167 of the family's 1533-position model. The record is from RNAcentral.